This 824-nucleotide ribosomal RNA is filed under the name uncultured bacterium. RNAcentral's name for it is "bacterial SSU rRNA". It matches the Rfam family "Bacterial small subunit ribosomal RNA", at positions 601 to 1426 of the family's 1533-position model. The record is from RNAcentral.
CCCCGGGCUCAACCUGGGAACUGCGUUNUGAACUGGGUGACUAGAGUAUGUCAGAGGGAGGUAGAAUUCCACGUGUAGCAGUGAAAUGCGUAGAGAUGUGGAGGAAUACCGAUGGCGAAGGCAGCCUCCUGGGAUAACACUGACGUUCAUGCCCGAAAGCGUGGGUAGCAAACAGGAUUAGAUACCCUGGUAGUCCACGCCCUAAACGAUGUCGAUUAGCUGUUGGGCAGCAUGACUGCUUAGUAGCGAAGCUAACGCGUGAAAUCGACCGCCUGGGGAGUACGGUCGCAAGAUUAAAACUCAAAGGAAUUGACGGGGACCCGCACAAGCGGUGGAUGAUGUGGAUUAAUUCGAUGCAACGCGAAGAACCUUACCUGGUCUUGACAUGUACGGAACCCUCCAGAGACGGAGGGGUGCCUUCGGGAGCCGUAACACAGGUGCUGCAUGGCUGUCGUCAGCUCGUGUCGUGAGAUGUUGGGUUAAGUCCCGCAACGAGCGCAACCCUUGUCAUUAGUUGCCAUCAUUAAGUUGGGCACUCUAAUGAGACUGCCGGUGACAAGCCGGAGGAAGGUGGGGAUGACGUCAAGUCCUCAUGGCCCUUGUGACCAGGGCUUCACACGUCAUACAAUGGUCGGUACAGAGGGUAGCCAAGCCGCGAGGUGGAGCCAAUCUCACAAAACCGAUCGUAGUCCGGAUUGCACUCUGCAACUCGAGUGCAUGAAGUCGGAAUCGCUAGUAAUCGCAGGUCAGCAUACUGCGGUGAAUACGUUCCCGGGUCUUGUACACACCGCCCGUCACACCAUGGGAGUGGGGGAUACCAGAAG